Molecule: ribosomal RNA, 250 nt
Filed under: uncultured bacterium
Lineage: Bacteria
Description: partial 16S ribosomal RNA
Rfam family: Bacterial small subunit ribosomal RNA
Source: RNAcentral
GUGAGUAGAGCGGCGGACGGGUGAGUAAUGCUUGGGAAUCUGCCCAAUAGUGGGGGAUAACGUGUGGAAACGCACGCUAAUACCGCAUACGUCCUACGGGAGAAAGCAGGGGAUCUUCGGACCUUGCGCUAUUGGAUGAGCCCAAGUCAGAUUAGCUAGUUGGUGAGGUAAUGGCUCACCAAGGCUUUGAUUGGUAGCUGGUCUGAGAGGAUGACCAGCCUCACUGGAACUGACACACGGUCCAGACUCC